UAAAAUCAAGAAUUAAUAAAUGGGAUGGAUUCAAACUAAAAAAAAACUUCUUCUGGGCAAAAUAAACAAUUGGUGAGGUAAAUAUAGAGCCUACAUCUUGGGAGCAAAUUUUUACCACUUGCACUGAAAAAUCAGCCUCUACCUCAGAGCAAAGCCUGUCCAAGGAAGAGGGCGUAACCCUUGUCCUUGGAAAGACCCACAGAGCACUCCUAGGCACAUACCCACCCUGCUGAGUUGUUUAUAUACAAAUAACAGGAGAGAUCUGCUAUGCCAAGUGUCCCUGACUCAGUCAGGCUAGGUGGAGACCCAUAGUAACCCCCUAGCAGCCAACAAUCAGCAUGAGACUCUGAAAAUACCUGGGAUGCCAGAUGACCCUUCCAGUAGUUUAUGGUGGUUGAUAAUAUCUUGGGAAACCAUGUAAUUCAGCACGUACUCCCCUCAUGGCUUAAAUCAAUCAGUUCAAACGAAUCCCCCUCUUUUACUAUCCAAUCACCCUUACCCAACUUGUUCCUGCCAGUGAAUGUGCUAAUCAUGUUUUAGAGGUUUUUUUAUGAUUUUCCUGCGGUGUGUGAUGAUUUGCUAAGAGAUGCUAUGAUGUAUGUGAAGUCCUUCCUUCUCCAAAGAGUGUAUAAAACUGCUGCAAACCUGGGCUCGGGGCCUUUCAGUGUCACCAUUUGCUGUGUGUGCGCGGAGGACUGAGCUAGCUCGCAAUAAACACC
This 719-nucleotide long non-coding RNA is filed under the name Marmota monax (woodchuck). Lineage: Eukaryota; Metazoa; Chordata; Mammalia; Rodentia; Sciuridae. The record is from RNAcentral.